AGAUUGAACGCUGGCGGCAUGCUUUACACAUGCAAGUCGAACGGCAGCGCGGGGCAACCUGGCGGCGAGUGGCGAACGGGUGAGUAAUAUAUCGGAACGUACCCAAGAGUCGGGGGAUAACGUAGCGAAAGUUACGCUAAUACCGCAUACGAUCUAAGGAUGAAAGCAGGGGACCGCAAGGCCUUGUGCUCCUGGAGCGGCCGAUAUCUGAUUAGCUAGUUGGUAGGGUAAAGGCCUACCAAGGCUACGAUCAGUAGCUGGUCUGAGAGGACGACCAGCCACACUGGAACUGAGACACGGUCCAGACUCCUACGGAGGCAGCAGUGGGGAAUUUUGGACAAUGGGCGCAAGCCUGAUCCAGCAAUGCCGCGUGAGUGAAGAAGGCCUUCGGUUAGUAAAGCUCGUUUUGUCAGGGAAGAAACGGUGGAGACUAAUAUCUCCCGACUAACGACGUACGUAGAAGAAUAAGCACGGCUAA
RNAcentral lists this ribosomal RNA (478 nucleotides) under uncultured soil bacterium. RNAcentral describes it as "bacterial SSU rRNA". It matches the Rfam family "Bacterial small subunit ribosomal RNA", at positions 26 to 500 of the family's 1533-position model. The record is from RNAcentral.